This is a non-coding RNA of Homo sapiens (human), 449 nucleotides long. The record is from RefSeq and is a predicted model, not a curated record. NCBI's taxonomy places the organism in Eukaryota, Metazoa, Chordata, Mammalia, Primates, Hominidae.
AGGAGGCGGCGGAGGGCGGGGGAAGAGGACGGCCGUUCCGGGUUCCGCCUGAGCCCGCAGCGCAGGACGAGGAGGCGGGAGCGGCGCGCUCUGCAACCCAGAGAGUGACCUGCAUGGAGCGUGCCAGCUGAAUCCCUUGUCCUGUGUCUUCUGGCUGAGUUCUACCAUAGGAAACACCGCCACGUGGGAGAACAGGAAGACAUUGAUGUCUGGGUGCUUAUUCCUAAAGCUUCCUCCCUGAGGUCACCUGGAGGUUGCUGCAUCUCUCUACUGAAGGCCACAGUUCCUGUCAUAUGACUGUCUCCAUCCAGCUGCCUUCUCUAAGUUCCAGCAACCACUGUCUCUCUCCCUUGAUCUUUGAGCCUAAAGGUAAUGCAGGCUCCCUGAUGUUGCUAGCCCUAGGAUACUGCAGCAUUCUUUGUUAGUUUACUAAAACCCUCUGUAAAUAA